GGGUUGUGAGGUUAAGCGACUAAGCGUACACGGUGGAUGCCCUGGCAGUCAGAGGCGAUGAAGGACGUGCUAAUCUGCGAUAAGCGUCGGUAAGGUGAUAUGAACCGUUAUAACCGGCGAUUUCCGAAUGGGGAAACCCAGUGUGAUUCGUCACACUAUCAUUAACUGAAUCCAUAGGUUAAUGAGGCGAACCGGGGGAACUGAAACAUCUAAGUACCCCGAGGAAAAGAAAUCAACCGAGAUUCCCCCAGUAGCGGCGAGCGAACGGGGAGCAGCCCAGAGCCUGAAUCAGUGUGUGUGUUAGUGGAAGCGUCUGGAAAGGCGCGCGAUACAGGGUGACAGCCCCGUACACAAAAAUGCACAUGCUGUGAGCUCGAUGAGUAGGGCGGGACACGUGGUAUCCUGUCUGAAUAUGGGGGGACCAUCCUCCAAGGCUAAAUACUCCUGACUGACCGAUAGUGAACCAGUACCGUGAGGGAAAGGCGAAAAGAACCCCGGCGAGGGGAGUGAAAAAGAACCUGAAACCGUGUACGUACAAGCAGUGGGAGCACAGAGCAAUCUGUGUGACUGCGUACCUUUUGUAUAAUGGGUCAGCGACUUAUAUUCUGUAGCAAGGUUAACCGAAUAGGGGAGCCGAAGGGAAACCGAGUCUUAACUGGGCGUUAAGUUGCAGGGUAUAGACCCGAAACCCGGUGAUCUAGCCAUGGGCAGGUUGAAGGUUGGGUAACACUAACUGGAGGACCGAACCGACUAAUGUUGAAAAAUUAGCGGAUGACUUGUGGCUGGGGGUGAAAGGCCAAUCAAACCGGGAGAUAGCUGGUUCUCCCCGAAAGCUAUUUAGGUAGCGCCUCGUGAAUUCAUCUCCGGGGGUAGAGCACUGUUUCGGCAAGGGGGUCAUCCCGACUUACCAACCCGAUGCAAACUGCGAAUACCGGAGAAUGUUAUCACGGGAGACACACGGCGGGUGCUAACGUCCGUCGUGAAGAGGGAAACAACCCAGACCGCCAGCUAAGGUCCCAAAGUCAUGGUUAAGUGGGAAACGAUGUGGGAAGGCCCAGACAGCCAGGAUGUUGGCUUAGAAGCAGCCAUCAUUUAAAGAAAGCGUAAUAGCUCACUGGUCGAGUCGGCCUGCGCGGAAGAUGUAACGGGGCUAAACCAUGCACCGAAGCUGCGGCAGCGACGCUUAUGCGUUGUUGGGUAGGGGAGCGUUCUGUAAGCCUGCGAAGGUGUGCUGUGAGGCAUGCUGGAGGUAUCAGAAGUGCGAAUGCUGACAUAAGUAACGAUAAAGCGGGUGAAAAGCCCGCUCGCCGGAAGACCAAGGGUUCCUGUCCAACGUUAAUCGGGGCAGGGUGAGUCGACCCCUAAGGCGAGGCCGAAAGGCGUAGUCGAUGGGAAACAGGUUAAUAUUCCUGUACUUGGUGUUACUGCGAAGGGGGGACGGAGAAGGCUAUGUUGGCCGGGCGACGGUUGUCCCGGUUUAAGCGUGUAGGCUGGUUUUCCAGGCAAAUCCGGAAAAUCAAGGCUGAGGCGUGAUGACGAGGCACUACGGUGCUGAAGCAACAAAUGCCCUGCUUCCAGGAAAAGCCUCUAAGCAUCAGGUAACAUCAAAUCGUACCCCAAACCGACACAGGUGGUCAGGUAGAGAAUACCAAGGCGCUUGAGAGAACUCGGGUGAAGGAACUAGGCAAAAUGGUGCCGUAACUUCGGGAGAAGGCACGCUGAUAUGUAGGUGAAGCCCCUCACGGAUGGAGCUGAAAUCAGUCGAAGAUACCAGCUGGCUGCAACUGUUUAUUAAAAACACAGCACUGUGCAAACACGAAAGUGGACGUAUACGGUGUGACGCCUGCCCGGUGCCGGAAGGUUAAUUGAUGGGGUUAGCGCAAGCGAAGCUCUUGAUCGAAGCCCCGGUAAACGGCGGCCGUAACUAUAACGGUCCUAAGGUAGCGAAAUUCCUUGUCGGGUAAGUUCCGACCUGCACGAAUGGCGUAAUGAUGGCCAGGCUGUCUCCACCCGAGACUCAGUGAAAUUGAACUCGCUGUGAAGAUGCAGUGUACCCGCGGCAAGACGGAAAGACCCCGUGAACCUUUACUAUAGCUUGACACUGAACAUUGAGCCUUGAUGUGUAGGAUAGGUGGGAGGCUUUGAAGUGUGGACGCCAGUCUGCAUGGAGCCGACCUUGAAAUACCACCCUUUAAUGUUUGAUGUUCUAACGUGGACCCGUAAUCCGGGUUGCGGACAGUGUCUGGUGGGUAGUUUGACUGGGGCGGUCUCCUCCUAAAGAGUAACGGAGGAGCACGAAGGUUGGCUAAUCCUGGUCGGACAUCAGGAGGUUAGUGCAAUGGCAUAAGCCAGCUUGACUGCGAGCGUGACGGCGCGAGCAGGUGCGAAAGCAGGUCAUAGUGAUCCGGUGGUUCUGAAUGGAAGGGCCAUCGCUCAACGGAUAAAAGGUACUCCGGGGAUAACAGGCUGAUACCGCCCAAGAGUUCAUAUCGACGGCGGUGUUUGGCACCUCGAUGUCGGCUCAUCACAUCCUGGGGCUGAAGUAGGUCCCAAGGGUAUGGCUGUUCGCCAUUUAAAGUGGUACGCGAGCUGGGUUUAGAACGUCGUGAGACAGUUCGGUCCCUAUCUGCCGUGGGCGCUGGAGAACUGAGGGGGGCUGCUCCUAGUACGAGAGGACCGGAGUGGACGCAUCACUGGUGUUCGGGUUGUCAUGCCAAUGGCACUGCCCGGUAGCUAAAUGCGGAAGAGAUAAGUGCUGAAAGCAUCUAAGCACGAAACUUGCCCCGAGAUGAGUUCUCCCUGACCCUUUAAGGGUCCUGAAGGAACGUUGAAGACGACGACGUUGAUAGGCCGGGUGUGUAAGCGCAGCGAUGCGUUGAGCUAACCGGUACUAAUGAACCGUGAGGCUUAACCUUACAACGCCGAAGGUGUUU
RNAcentral lists this ribosomal RNA (2933 nucleotides) under Escherichia coli. RNAcentral's name for it is "23S ribosomal RNA". It matches the Rfam family "Bacterial large subunit ribosomal RNA". Lineage: Bacteria; Pseudomonadati; Pseudomonadota; Gammaproteobacteria; Enterobacterales; Enterobacteriaceae. The record is from RNAcentral.